This 340-nucleotide long non-coding RNA is filed under the name Oryza brachyantha (malo sina). RNAcentral describes it as "long non-coding RNA (OBRA_LNC003565)". The record is from RNAcentral. Lineage: Eukaryota; Viridiplantae; Streptophyta; Magnoliopsida; Poales; Poaceae.
GUUCUGAAAUAUUUUGAUUUCACCUCUUUGCAGAUGGAGCUAGGCUCGAGACUUCUGGCUGCUAAAGGACUUUCACUUGUUUAUGUUUGUUUUGAUCGGUAAACAUAUGAUUGUAUUUGGACACAUAUGAUUAGGUUUGGGUGUAAUUUUUGGCUAUAAGUCUGUAUUGGAUGUUCACUGGGUUGUAUUGGAUGUUAACUGGGCUAUAUUUGUAUGGGCUGCUAUUUGGUAAAUGCUUCGGCCUAUAUGGUCUUGGCCCAUUUGUUAUCUGUUUUUAAUGCAAAUGGAUAUAAUACAAUUGGGCUGAAAAUAGUAUGUAUUGCUAUGUUAUAGAUGGGCC